AGACAGUGAUGGUGUAGAGAUAACAGGUUAAAGCCUGAUAUAGACAGUGAUGGUGUAGAGAUGACAGGAGCAGGUUAAAGCCUGAUAUAGACAGUGAUGGUGUAGAGAUGACAGGUUAAAGCCUGAUAUAGACAGUGAUGGUGUAGAGAUGACAGGAGCAGGUUAAAGCCUGAUAUAGACAGUGAUGGUGUAGAGAUGACAGGAGCAGGUUAAAGCCUGAUAUAGACAGUGAUGGUGUAGAGAUGACAGGAGCAGGUUAAAGCCUGAUAUAGACAGUGAUGGUGUAGAGAUGACAGGUUAAAGCCUGAUAUAGACAGUGAUGGUGUAGAGAUGACAGGUUAAAGCCUGAUAUAGACAGUGAUGGUGUAGAGAUGACAGGAGCAGGUUAAAAGCCUGAUAUAGACAGUGAUGGUGUAGAGAUGACAGGUUAAAGCCUGAUAUAGACAGUGAUGGUGUAGAGAUGACAGGUUAAAGCCUGAUAUAGACAGUGAUGGUGUAGAGAUGACAGGAGCAGGUUAAAGCCUGAUAUAGACAGUGAUGGUGUAGAGAUGACAGGUUAAAGCCUGAUAUAGACAGUGAUGGUGUAGAGAUGACAGGUUAAAGCCUGAUAUAGACAGUGAUGGUGUAGAGAUGACAGGUUAACAGCCUGAUAUAGACAGUGAUGGUGUAGAGAUGACAGGAGCAGGUUAAAGCCUGAUAUAGACAGUGAUGGUGUAGAGAUGACAGGAGCAGGUUAAAAGCCUGAUAUAGACAGUGAUGGUGUAGAGAUGACAGGAGCAGGUUAAAGCCUGAUAUAGACAGUGAUGGUGUAGAGAUGACAGGAGCAGGUUAAAGCCUGAUAUAGACAGUGAUGGUGUAGAGAUGACAGGAGCAGGUUAAAGCCUGAUAUAGACAGUGAUGGUGUAGAGAUGACAGGUUAAAGCCUGAUAUAGACAGUGAUGGUGUAGAGAUGACAGGUUAAAGCCUGAUAUAGACAGUGAUGGUGUAGAGAUGACAGGAGCAGGUUAAAAGCCUGAUAUAGACAGUGAUGGUGUAGAGAUGACAGGAGCAGGUUAAAGCCUGAUAUAGACAGUGAUGGUGUAGAGAUGACAGGAGCAGGUUAAAGCCUGAUAUAGACAGUGAUGGUGUAGAGAUGACAGGUUAAAGCCUGAUAUAGACAGUGAUGGUGUAGAGAUGACAGGAGCAGGUUAAAGCCUGAUAUAGACAGUGAUGGUGUAGAGAUGACAGGUUAAAGCCUGAUAUAGACAGUGAUGGUGUAGAGAUGACAGGAGCAGGUUAAAGCCUGAUAUAGACAGUGAUGGUGUAGAGAUGACAGGUUAAAGCCUGAUAUAGACAGUGAUGGUGUAGAGAUACUCAGGGCAGGCAUUUAUUUCAAGUACAGAGGAAAGUCUGGGAGUGGAGGACGGCAGCAAGGGACAGGAGAGAGGAGGCUCUAUUUUCAAGAGGAAAGUGAUUAUUGCCAGGAAACAAAGACUGGGAGUAUGUAUUUAUACAAUGUGGGCAAUAUCAGAGGGACAGAGAGAGGCUGAACUCCAGUAUCAGAGGGAAAGAGAGAGGCUGAGCUCCAGUAUCAGAGGGAAAGAGAGAGGCUGAGCUCCAGUAUCAGAGGGACAGAGAGAGGCUGAGCUCCAGUAUCAGAGGGAAAGAGAGAGGCUGAGCUCCAGUAUCAGAGGGAAAGAGAGAGGCUGAACUCCAGUAUCAGAGGGACACAGAGAGGCUGAGCUCCAGUAUCAGAGGGAAAGAGAGAGGCUGAACUCCAGUAUCAGAGGGACACAGAGAGGCUGAGCUCCAGUAUCAGAGGGAAAGAGAGAGGCUGAACUCCAGUAUCAGAGGGAAAGAGAGAGGCUGAACUCCAGUAUCAGAGGGACAGAGAGAGGCUGAGCUCCAGUAUCAGAGGGACAGAGAGAGGCUGAGCUCCAGUAUCAGAGGGAAAGAGAGAGGCUGAGCUCCAGUAUCAGAGGGAAAGAGAGAGGCUGAGCUCCAGUAUCAGAGGGACAGAGAGAGGCUGAGCUCCAGUAUCAGAGGGAAAGAGAGAGGCUGAACUCCAGUAUCA
Oncorhynchus keta (chum salmon) is the source of this 2053-nucleotide long non-coding RNA. RefSeq lists it as uncharacterized. The record is from RefSeq and is a predicted model, not a curated record. The transcript is spliced from 8 exons. Lineage: Eukaryota; Metazoa; Chordata; Actinopteri; Salmoniformes; Salmonidae.